Molecule: ribosomal RNA, 501 nt
Filed under: Coenogonium pineti
Lineage: Eukaryota; Fungi; Ascomycota; Lecanoromycetes; Ostropales; Coenogoniaceae
Description: eukaryotic LSU rRNA
Rfam family: 5.8S ribosomal RNA (bases 171-324)
Source: RNAcentral
AAGGAUCAUUACAGAGUUAGGGGCUCUGCCCCAACCUCCAACCCGUGCGAUCGAAAGCGUUGCUUUGGCGGGCCGGCACCCAGCCCGCCGGCCCAGCUGGCGAGUGCCCGUCAAAGGCCCACACAAACUCUCAAAAAACGAAACUAAAAAAAAUUAUCGUGAAAUCAUAAAACUUUCAACAACGGAUCUCUUGGUUCCGGCAUCGAUGAAGAACGCAGCGAAAUGCGAAAAGUAAUGUGAAUUGCAGAAUUCAGUGAAUCAUCGAGUCUUUGAACGCACAUUGCGCCCUCUGGUAUUCCGGGGGGCACGCCUGUCCGAGCGUCAUCGCAUAAUCGAGCUCCGCUCGGCAUUGGGUUCGCCGGGGGCGGCCCGAAACGCAGCGGCGCGGUCGCCGGGCAAGGACGCACUGAAGACUUCGUUCCUGCGUCCGGCGAGCGCUGCCAGAAACCACAUUUCUGACAGAUUGACCUCGGAUCAGGCGGGACCACCCGCUGAACUUAA